ACUCCUUCUGGCCCCUGUCCUCCCUCCUCCAACAACGACGCGGUAGCAAGACAGCUGUUCCCAGAAUCUGCUUUGAAUUAAAAAGUGGUGUGGCCCUUUAAGAGAAGCAUCUGCCGCCCCCGCCCCCGCUGCCCCCUUUGAUGUCGCUGGCGCUGAAAGGCUCCCAGUGACGAGAUCUGAGGGUUUGUUUCUGCCUCCCUAGGGGCCACGUGCAGAUCACAGGGUGGGAGGGAGGAUGGGCCGAAGGUCACAUGGCCCGGCCUCCCUGGCCUGCAGCCGCUAUUGCAGCCGGCACUGGGGACCAGCAGGCUGCACGGAUGGGGACCAGCUGGCCUGGAGCUCAUUAGGGCGCGAAGGAGCCAGCAGCUGGCAGAGCCCAGGGGGAGCCCUCUGGCCCUCCCCAUGGGGCCUGACCUCCCCAGGCCCUUCCUCACCUGUACGGCAGGGGUGGGGCACGCGCUGGCGCCCUGGGGACACCUGCGACACCCUGGGAAGCCCCAUCUCCGCAGAUCUUCCAGAAGCACCUCCUAUCCCCAUCCCCUUCCUCCUGCCAGCUUUGGAGGGUGGCCGUUCCCAGCUUCUGCUGGUCCUGCCUCAUUUCCUGUUCCCACGACCCUGGGAGGCACGCGCUGUUCUUGUCGCCACUUUACAGGUAAAAUUCACAUAACCUAAAACCAAUCACUUUAAAGUACACAAUUCCGCGGCAUUGAGUUCAUGCACAGGUGCAACUGCAGCCUCGACCGAUUCCAGAAUAUUUUCGUCACUCGUCCCCUCUUCCUCCAUGUGCCCUGGCAACCAGCAGUCUGCUUUCUGGCUCUGUGGAUUCGCCCAUUCUGGCCAUUUCGCACGAACGGAAUCAAAAUAUGUGGCCUUUUGUAUCUGGCUUCUCUCCCUCGGCUUCACGUUUCUAGGAUUCACUCAUUACGAAGCGCGUGUCGAUGCUUCCUUUUUAUGUCUGAAUGGUAUAGACCACGUUUUGUCCAUCCGUUCCCUUGUGGGUGGACGUCCGGGUUUUCCACCUUUUGACGACUGUACGUACUGGCGCCACGGACGGUGCCAUACAGGCUUUUGUUGGGACACCUGUUUUCAAUUGUUUUGAGAAUAUACCUGGGCAUGGGAUGGCUAGAUCACACGAUAAUUCCGUUUAACCCACCGAGGAGCCACCAAACUGUCUCCCGCAGUGGCUGACCCAUUUUACGUUCCCGCCAGCGGCGCACACACGUCCUCCGUGCGUCCCCGGCCAAUGCCUGUCCUUUCCUGUGUUUCUGACCGCGCCCCAUCCUCCUGGCUGCGAGAUGGUAUCUGACCCGUUGCUGCUCGGCCGAGGGUCUGCCCUCCUCCGUGGCCUCGGGGCUGGGUGCGUCUGCCUGGAAGAGGAGGCCCAGCGCUGGGCAGCCUGAAGGGCCGCUGUCCUGGGAGGACCCGGCAGAGUGCAGGCGCUGCAAUCUCUGAGUGCGGGAGUCUGGGGCGCAGAAGGCACAGCUGGCCCCUCGGGGGGCCGGCAGGGAGAGGACAGAGUCAGUGUGUCACAGCCAACUGCUGCGGCAGGUCAGGGUCGCACGGAGCAGGAAUGGCGAAGGCGGAGACACAGACAGACGGACGGGCAGGAACGUUCCAGGGAAAGCUUUUCGCUUCUGCUAGUUAUGUCGAAUAAACCAAAACAAGAACUCGUUUUGGUUCAAUGUGCAGGCUAAAACGCAUUACGGCAAACACCGGCGAGUACAACAUGCGUGCUCUCCCCUCGUCCCGGAAUUU
Long non-coding RNA from Herpailurus yagouaroundi (jaguarundi), 1755 nucleotides. RefSeq lists it as uncharacterized. The record is from RefSeq and is a predicted model, not a curated record. NCBI's taxonomy places the organism in Eukaryota, Metazoa, Chordata, Mammalia, Carnivora, Felidae. The transcript is spliced from 3 exons.